This is a long non-coding RNA of Vitis riparia (riverbank grape), 697 nucleotides long. RefSeq lists it as uncharacterized. The record is from RefSeq and is a predicted model, not a curated record. The transcript has 2 exons. Lineage: Eukaryota; Viridiplantae; Streptophyta; Magnoliopsida; Vitales; Vitaceae.
GCAGAAUUCUCACAUCUGUGGGGAAUUUAAUCGGAAAUUGAGUUCAAUCAUUGUAUCUAAAUUCAAAGGGCUGUCAACUCUAACUAAAAUGACCACAAUAAAAAAUCCAGAAAACCCCUGUCAAGAAAAACUUUAAACCCACCCGGAGCCAACCCAUAUCCACAGAAAACGCAUUUUCCAAAAAUCCAACUCACCUUUCCCUCCAUUUGCAACUUAAUCACGUCGCGUGGAAUAGAUGAUCUGCUCCCGAGAGUAUCACCGAUCAUAACCAACCGCGACGCGACCCUUUUUGCAGCCUAAUCACGUUGCGCCACGUGUUCAACUUGGCAAUGGUGAUCUGCUCCCGAGAGUAUCACCGAUCAUAACUAACCGCGACGCGACCCUUCUAAAAAGGAGAACGCUCUCAUUCCAGACUCCGUCGCCGUCUUCAACCUCUCUCUCUGCGGGGUUGUUCUAGGUUUGUCGCGUCUAAAAAGGAGAACGCUCUCAUUCCUCUCCCGGACUCCAUCGCCGUCUUCAACCUCUCUCUCUCUGGUAGAUGUUCAACACGUUUUCUUUUCUUUGCUUUUUUUUUUUUUUUUUUAUCAUUUGUUGUUUGCUUAUUUCCUGUUUUUUCUCGGCAACCAAACGGGGUUGUUCUAGGUUUGUUUGAUUAGAUCUGGAAAUAUAAUGGUCUGAAUUUGGAAUGAGAUGUUCA